Molecule: ribosomal RNA, 465 nt
Filed under: Vreelandella stevensii
Lineage: Bacteria; Pseudomonadati; Pseudomonadota; Gammaproteobacteria; Oceanospirillales; Halomonadaceae
Description: partial 16S ribosomal RNA
Rfam family: Bacterial small subunit ribosomal RNA
Source: RNAcentral
CCUACGGGUGGCUGCAGUGGGGAAUAUUGGACAAUGGGCGAAAGCCUGAUCCAGCCAUGCCGCGUGUGUGAAGAAGGCCUUCGGGUUGUAAAGCACUUUCAGUGGGGAAGAAAGCCUUGGGGCUAAUACCCUCGAGGAAGGACAUCACCCACAGAAGAAGCACCGGCUAACUCCGUGCCAGCAGCCGCGGUAAUACGGAGGGUGCGAGCGUUAAUCGGAAUUACUGGGCGUAAAGCGCGCGUAGGCGGUCUGAUAAGCCGGUUGUGAAAGCCCCGGGCUCAACCUGGGAACGGCAUCCGGAACUGUCAGGCUAGAGUGCAGGAGAGGAAGGUAGAAUUCCCGGUGUAGCGGUGAAAUGCGUAGAGAGCGGGAGGAAUGCCAGUGGCGAAGGCGGCCUUCUGGACUGACACUGACGCUGAGGUGCGAAAGCGUGGGUAGCAAACAGGAUGAGAUACCCCUGUAGUC